UUGAACGCUGGCGGUAUGCUUUACACAUGCAAGUCGAACGGGCUAUGGGGCUUGCUCCAUAGUUAGUGGCGAACGGGUGAGUAAUAUAUCGGAACAUAUCCGGAAGUGGGGGAUAACGUAGCGAAAGUUACGCUAAUACCGCAUAUGCCCUGAGGGGGAAAGUGGGGGAUCGCAAGACCUCACGUUAUUCGAGCGGCCGACGUCUGAUUAGCUAGUUGGUGGGGUAAAGGCUCACCAAGGCGACGAUCAGUAGCGGGUCUGAGAGGAUGAUCCGUCACACUGGAACUGAGACACGGUCCAGACUCCUACGGGAGGCAGCAGUGGGGAAUUUUGGACAAUGGGGGCAACCCUGAUCCAGCCAUUCCGCGUGAGUGAAGAAGGCCUUCGGGUUGUAAAGCUCUUUCAGCCGGAACGAAACGGUACGCUCUAACAUAGCGUGCUAAUGACGGUACCGGCAGAAGAAGCACCGGCUAACUACGUG
This 481-nucleotide ribosomal RNA is filed under the name uncultured bacterium. Its description in RNAcentral is "bacterial SSU rRNA". It matches the Rfam family "Bacterial small subunit ribosomal RNA", at positions 30 to 507 of the family's 1533-position model. The record is from RNAcentral.